CGGGAGGCUGAGACAGGAGGAUC
This 23-nucleotide non-coding RNA is filed under the name Cricetulus griseus (Chinese hamster). The record is from RNAcentral. Lineage: Eukaryota; Metazoa; Chordata; Mammalia; Rodentia; Cricetidae.